AUUCAAAACUCCAAGUAAAUAGAGUGUGGUAUUUCGACAUAAUUGUGCUGCAGUACCGUAUCUUGACAAAAAUGUAUCAAAAAUGUCAAUGUAGUACCAUUGUACUUUUGGCUUCCAAAAUGUACCAACAAAGUACAAUUGUACCAUCAAUUUCAUCACUGUGCUAUAACCAACAUUGAGUUACGAGCCGAAUUCAGGCAGAAGCUGUUUGCUUGGCGUAAAACAGAGUUCAACAUUGAUGACGACACCAUCUCUGUGGAUUCCAAAGUAAAAUUUUGGCUAGAGAAAUCAAUACCAUCAAGUACAACUCCAGAUUCACUUGGAAAAUCCGAUCAAGCUAAAAGCCUACUGGAUGUUCGCUCUAUUUUGCAAAACUGUUCAAGGGGCAAAGCAAUAUUAAGUUACUAUGAAAAAAAAUCGCAGUUAUCAAAUAUUUAUAGAGAGCAACUUAUCGCAUUGAUAGUGGAAGAAGUAAACUGCAAUGAAGUCCGGAUAAGAACUUCAGACUACCCGUCAAUUAUCAAUCAAAUUGUUUCAAUUUUCCCUCCGGAAUGUGAAGCAAGAGUCAAUGCCAACGGACAUUUAGCGAAAAAAAAAACUUUUCGCACAUCUUGGUUUUGAAACGAUUUAUCUUUUUAGGAAUUUUACUUUAUUCCCCGGAAUGGUAGGAAAAACCCUGGCGGAAAACUGUAUGCGAAAUAUACUAAUAGCAGGGCAAAACGCUUUAAAUCUGAAAAGGCACCAGCAUCGCCUAAACCGGUUGAUGAUAGUUUAACUUUUGAAGCCGAGUUCGACGAAACCAUUUCGGUUGCAUUGAAAACUGAAUUAAAAAGAGACUAUUCAGAUUGGAACGCGGUUAUUGAUAAAUGGCAUAAGACUCAUAAUUUGCGUCUGAGAGACUUAAUAACCUAUGAUGCAGUAAGAUUUCUCAAGGAAUGGCCAAAAUAUUGCGACAGCAGGGCUAUUGAUUUGUUUAAAAUUGAUUUAAACAUUCUUUAUCCGGGCAAAGAGCUUAUGCUUCGCAGCAAAUGGGAAGCUUUUAAAACGAAAAUUGAGGUAUACUACCGAGAAAAUAUGCACAGCAAAAAGUUAUUAGCAGAUUUGCAUCUGGCUGAAAAUUGCGAUUCAUCAGACUAUAUUCUAACAACCUUGUUAAGGACUUGGCCGUACAUAAUUUUCUUCGCCAUAUGCUAACAUCUCCAACUACAGCUUGUCACACCUUAAUGCUUAACAAUUUGGUGUUCAUUGCUUUCUUGCUUGAAUUUUGUUUUGUCAUUCCUCGCUUAACAUCGCUUUGACUAUUGUUGGUACUUUUCGCAUUUUUCUUCACUUUCGCUUACUCGCAUUCUCAUCGCUCAUCUUCGCUCAUUGUUAU
Rhagoletis pomonella (apple maggot) is the source of this 1375-nucleotide long non-coding RNA. RefSeq lists it as uncharacterized. Lineage: Eukaryota; Metazoa; Arthropoda; Insecta; Diptera; Tephritidae. The record is from RefSeq and is a predicted model, not a curated record. The transcript is spliced from 5 exons.